GGAAUAUUGCGCAAUGGGCGAAAGCCUGACGCAGCGACGCCGCGUGGGUGAUGAAGGCCUUCGGGUCGUAAAGCCCUGUCAGGAGGGACGAAACCUCGCCGGUCGAAUACGCCGGCGACCUGACGGUACCCCCAAAGGACGCACCGGCUAACUCCGUGCCAGCAGCCGCGGUAAUACGGAGGGUGCGAGCGUUGUUCGGAAUUACUGGGCGUAAAGCGCGUGUAGGCUGCCUCUUAAGUCUGGUGUGAAAGCCCGGGGCUCACCCCCGGAAGUGCACUGGAUACUGGGGGGCUAGAGUACCGGAGAGGAGGGUGGAAUUCCUGGUGUAGCGGUGAAAUGCGUAGAUAUCAGGAGGAACACCUGUGGCGAAGGCGGCCCUCUGGACGGAUACUGACGCUGAGACGCGAAAGCGUGGGGAGCAAAC
Molecule: ribosomal RNA, 424 nt
Filed under: uncultured bacterium
Lineage: Bacteria
Description: bacterial SSU rRNA
Rfam family: Bacterial small subunit ribosomal RNA
Source: RNAcentral